This 408-nucleotide ribosomal RNA is filed under the name Triticum aestivum (bread wheat). Its description in RNAcentral is "partial small subunit ribosomal RNA". Lineage: Eukaryota; Viridiplantae; Streptophyta; Magnoliopsida; Poales; Poaceae. The record is from RNAcentral.
AUGUUAAAUUUACACAAAAAUGAAAUUUGUAGCACAAAGAUACAAUGUUGUAUUAAGGCCUGCUUACUGCAAAAAAUUGUGGGACAUGUUAUGUUUGGCACUUGCUUGAGACUGCUCGGGUUUGGAGAAAUCGCACAGAGUCGUCAACAACUAUCCCUGCUACCGUGUAUCUGCCGCCUUCUUCUAUGGGCUUGUAUUUGCAGUCGAACUUCGACGCUAGCGUGGAGCCCGUGGAGUUGUGUCCGGAGAAACGGGGGGCACUACCAAGUACAAGGUGGUGGUGUGUGCUGUGCGGGGAGCACCACUACUCACAGUCAUGGACUGUCAGCAGGAUCAAGGCAAAAUAUCAACUCGGCAAAAAGGUAUAGUGCAAAUGUCUCCUUCCAUAGUACUCCCUCCGUCUCAUAA